GAUGAACGCUGGCGGCGUGCCUAAUACAUGCAAGUCGAGCGAACAGACGAGGAGCUUGCUCCUCUGACGUUAGCGGCGGACGGGUGAGUAACACGUGGAUAACCUACCUAUAAGACUGGGAUAACUUCGGGAAACCGGAGCUAAUACCGGAUAAUAUAUUGAACCGCAUGGUUCAAUAGUGAAAGACGGUUUUGCUGUCACUUAUAGAUGGAUCCGCGCCGCAUUAGCUAGUUGGUAAGGUAACGGCUUACCAAGGCAACGAUGCGUAGCCGACCUGAGAGGGUGAUCGGCCACACUGGAACUGAGACGCGGUCCAGACUCCUACGGGAGGCAGCAGUAGGGAAUCUUCCGCAAUGGGCGGAAGCUUGACGGAGCAACGCCGCGUGAGUGAUGAAGAUCUUCGGAUCGUAAAACUCUGUUAUUAGGGAAGAACAAAUGUGUAAGUAACUAUGCACGUCUUGACGGUACCUAAUCAGAAAGCCACGGCUAACUACGUG
This 497-nucleotide ribosomal RNA is filed under the name uncultured bacterium. RNAcentral's name for it is "partial 16S ribosomal RNA". It matches the Rfam family "Bacterial small subunit ribosomal RNA", at positions 28 to 507 of the family's 1533-position model. The record is from RNAcentral.